GUUUGUGGGCCGGUCUGGGUCCAGGUUUGUGGGCCGGUCUGGGUCCAGGUUUGUGGGCCGGUCUGGGUCCAGGUUCGUGGGCCGGUCUGGGUCCAGGUUCGUGGGCCGGUCUGGGUCCAGGUUCGUGGGCCGGUCUGGGUCCAGGUUCGUGGGCCGGUCUGGGUCCAGGUUCUGGGCCGGUCUGGGUCCAGGUUUCUGGGCCGGUCUGGGUCCAGGUUUCUGGGCCGGUCUGGGUCCAGGUUCGUGGGCCGGUCUGGGUCCAGGUUCGUGGGCCGGUCUGGGUCCAGGUUCGUGGGCCGGUCUGGGUCCAGGUUCGUGGGCCGGUCUGGGUCCAGGUUCGUGGGCCAGUCUGGGUCCAGGUUUGUGGGGCUGAGGUUGAGGCAAGGAUAUUGUAGAUAGUUGGUGAGGGCUGGUUGAGGGGUGUUGUAUUCAGUUCAGUAAUAGUCAUCAUGGACAACAAGGGGAGAAGGAAACUCCCUUUACUGGUCUGAUCUGGCCUUCUUUGGACCGGCAGCUUUCCUAAAGGAGAGAAACAACACGAUUCAACAGAUGAACAUAGACAGGGGGCUGGUGAAAGAGUCAGGAGAGAGCGUUAGGAGUGGAGCUGAGAGUCAAGACCAGAAUAAAAGUUGAGAGUUUAAGGUUCACCCGUGUUGAAUGUUCCAAUUUUUUUUUUUUUUUUUUUGUGCAUCUCUGAAGUGAUGUUGUAUCGAGUCAUGGAGAACAGAGAACAUCCCUGGUCAUCCCUACUGCCUCUGAUCUGGAGGACUCACUAAACAGAGAACAUCCUGUCAUGUUUAUCUAAGAUCUUGAUCAGAAACUCUGGCAGAGAUACAGUUGGUAUGAGGCAAAACGCAUUGUACCG
This is a long non-coding RNA of Oncorhynchus tshawytscha (Chinook salmon), 865 nucleotides long. Lineage: Eukaryota; Metazoa; Chordata; Actinopteri; Salmoniformes; Salmonidae. The record is from Ensembl.